Molecule: ribosomal RNA, 251 nt
Filed under: uncultured bacterium
Lineage: Bacteria
Description: partial 16S ribosomal RNA
Rfam family: Bacterial small subunit ribosomal RNA
Source: RNAcentral
UACGGAGGUGGCAAGCGUUGCUCGGAUUUACUGGGUGUAAAGGGCACGUAGGCGGUUCGGUAGGCCCUGCCUGAAAUGCUUCGGCUCAACCGGGGUAUGUGGUGGGGGACUGCCGGACUAGAGGAUGGGAGAGGCGAACGGAAUUCCCGGUGUAAGGGUGAAAUCUGUAGAGAUCGGGAGGAACACCAGUGGCGAAAGCGGUUCGCUGGACCAUAACUGACGCUGAGGUGCGAAAGCUAGGGGAGCAAACA